ACAUGGGUUUGGAUUUAUGGCAGGCCCAUCCCCUUGGGUCUUUCAUAGUGCCCCAUGCCAGAGUAAACUGUGGCCUGAACCAUUGCCUGGCCUCAGCCGAUAGGCUGCAGGAACAAAACAAGACAUGAAUUC
Molecule: small nucleolar RNA, 132 nt
Filed under: Myotis brandtii (Brandt's bat)
Lineage: Eukaryota; Metazoa; Chordata; Mammalia; Chiroptera; Vespertilionidae
Description: Small nucleolar RNA SNORA42/SNORA80 family
Rfam family: Small nucleolar RNA SNORA42/SNORA80 family
About the family: The members of this family belong to the H/ACA class of snoRNAs that guide the sites of modification of uridines to pseudouridines. Human ACA42 (SNORA42) was cloned from HeLa cells by immunoprecipitation with anti-GAR1 antibody. Its is predicted to guide the pseudouridylation of residues U109 and U572 of 18S rRNA.
Source: Rfam by way of RNAcentral